Long non-coding RNA from Paramisgurnus dabryanus, 859 nucleotides. RefSeq lists it as uncharacterized. The record is from RefSeq and is a predicted model, not a curated record. Lineage: Eukaryota; Metazoa; Chordata; Actinopteri; Cypriniformes; Cobitidae.
CUGAACUAGAUUAUUGAUGGGUGUUUUUUGGUAAUAUUGUGAUCAGAGGUGGACAAUCCAUGUGCCAGGAGUAAAAGUCCUCUCCAGUAUUUUGUUACAAUCACCUGGAUUUGCUAAUUAGCACAGUUUUUCAGCAGGAGGUGACCUCCGGGCUCGCUGGUGUUUUAAGCCCUCAACGAAGCCUUCAAGGCAGCGCUGUCUGGAAGGCACUCCCCGUGCCCCGAGCGUUUCAGCCAAUCACAGCACUGGUGCUAGAUAUCAAGCCUUCCGCCAGCUUCUGGCAGUUUGAGCUCACCGUUGGUCAGCAUCUACGGCUAUAUUCAUGGUGAGAACUAGUGAUGGGCAGUCCGGCUCUUUCCAUUGAUUCGGCUCUUUCGGCUCAAGCUCCGGCUCUACAUUUUAGUGAUGGCAGUCCGGCUCUUUUCAUAGAUUCGGCUCUUCUGGGUCGGCUCCCUUAGAAGAGCCGGCUCCCCUGCCUGCGUCUGAAGAUUCGGCUCUGCUCGUUAGCUACAAAGAAUCAGCUCUUUAGCCGGCUCGUUCGCGAAUGACCCAUCACUAGUGAGAACCAGGAAACCGGAGUACCUGGAGUAAACCCACGCUGACACAGGGAGAACAUGCAGAAACUCCACAGAAAGGUCACCUGCCCUAGCCGGGGCUUGAACCGGGAACCUUCUCGCUGUGAGGCAACAGUGCUACCCACUGUGUCACCCCCAUUCAUUGUUCAAAACAGGUGGAUUUGCUGACAGCAUUGAACCAAAAGAUAAGAAUACAAAUAUAAUCAAGACUGAAGGAGAAUCUGUGACACUGAGCUGCACAUAUGAAGCAAGCAGCCUCUAUGUUUAUCUUUACUGGUACAGAC